Molecule: long non-coding RNA, 1039 nt
Filed under: Oryza sativa Indica Group (long-grained rice)
Lineage: Eukaryota; Viridiplantae; Streptophyta; Magnoliopsida; Poales; Poaceae
Description: lncRNA OsZS97_04G011500
Source: RNAcentral
AUGGACGACAGCAGCAGUAGCAGCAGCGAGGUUGAGCUGAUGCUCGAGAGGGCGUUCCCGGAUGGGGUCGAGAUAGACGUCGCCACGCACUGCGACGGCCUCAUCGCCGUCACGACGGACGCCGGCGAGACAUUCGUCUGCAACCCAGCCACCAAGGAGCUCGUCACGCUGCCGCUCGGCAUCAGCUGCCACAACGGCUGCGUCGUCUGGGAUCGGUUCGCGGCCAUCGGCUAUGAUCCGUGGCGCCGCGCAACCGGUACGUCGUACUUCCACCGGCGCUACCCAAACAGGGCCGGCGUCGCCGAAAUCGGGCAUGAGAUCUUCGUUCUCGGCGGCGGCGGCGCCGGCUCAUGGGAGGCCACCGAGGAUCCACCACCAACCAGCGCCGUCGUGCCCAGCACUCCGCCGGCUUGCAUCGGAGGGUGCUUCUACUGGUGCACCAACGAGGACGUCGGCAACCCGAGCAUGUUGCUCCGGUUUAGCCUUCGCAGCCACAAGUUCGACAUGGUUCCAUGCCAUCCGGGCUGCUCAUCCGACGUCUUCGCAUUCAACACCUGGUCCAUGCGCUGCUGCAUCGAUGUCGGCGACUACGUGAGCUGCGUCUCCCCGCUGGUGGCCGGCGGGGAGCACAUCUUGCUGUCGGUGGAUGAGAACUUGUAUCUGUAUGGUGAGAGGAGUAGGGUUCUGGAGAAGGUGGUCGACACGGCAGAGGUGGAAUACGCGCGGUCGGAUGGGAGCAAAUAUAAGCUAGGCUAUGAUUUGUAUAGUCAGCAUUACUAUGUUCCAUAUGUGGAGAGUCUAGUCUCAAUUAGAUUUCGCUCAAAAACCGCCGCCGCUGCUCCAUCCCCCUCCGGCCCUCUUCGUCCGCGCUCACCCCCGCUUGAGCAGCUCGCCGGAAAGGCGGGCAGCAGCAAGAACGACUGCGGCGGAGCUCCUUCUCUCCUCUUCCACCCCCUGAUAGCACUAUGCGCCUAUGCGGGUUGUGGUCACCGAAUCCCUGUCAUGUGGCAAUGGGGUUCUCAGAUAUAGACCAAUCUAU